GCUAAAUGUUGAGGUUCGUGAUGGUAGCCAAUUGACGUGUUUCUUAGGCCUGUAUCUGCAUCACAGACAACGCGGUGAGGUUCACGACACAGAAUCCUCUCUCGCCUGUCCUGCUCAAGAAGUUGAAGUAAAGAGUGACGCAGCUUAGAGACGUUAGAUUCUGAUUAUUGAAAACCUAAUAAUUGAAAGAACAUUAGGGAUUGAAAACGUGAAAUCGUUAAGUUUUCAGCGAAAAUUUUCAAAGAUGGCAGAGGAAUCUCCAAGGUCCAUAAGGUUAAUGAAUUUCAUUUCGGAGGAACUGGUAUUCCCAAUUAAUUGACCCUAAACCCUGAUUCUCUUUGGUUAAUUUGUCCUUUUUUUCAAAAUUUGUUAUGUUUUGGUCCAAAUCCUAAUUUAUAUUAUCUGGUGUUACAGUUAGAUCAGGCUAAGAAAGC
RNAcentral lists this unclassified non-coding RNA (434 nucleotides) under Hevea brasiliensis (rubber tree). Lineage: Eukaryota; Viridiplantae; Streptophyta; Magnoliopsida; Malpighiales; Euphorbiaceae. The record is from RNAcentral.